This 2644-nucleotide ribosomal RNA is filed under the name microbial mat metagenome. RNAcentral describes it as "bacterial LSU rRNA". It matches the Rfam family "Bacterial large subunit ribosomal RNA", at positions 14 to 2606 of the family's 2925-position model. The record is from RNAcentral.
AGAGCAUAUGGUGGAUGCCUUGGCUUCAAGUAGCGAUGAAAGACGUAGUACGGCUGCGAUAAGUUUCGGGGAGGUGCCUAACAACCUUCGAUCCGGAAAUUUCUGAAUGGGGGAACCCGGCUGGUUAUGCCAGCCAUUUCUAGGCUUGACCUAGAUCUGCGCACCCAGGGAAGUGAAACAUCUCAGUACCUGGAGGAAAAGAAAACAAUCCUACGAAUGUAGGAAACAUUUCCUUAGUAGCGGCGAGCGAAAAGGAAAGAGCCCAAACCGAAUGUGUUUACAUAUUCGGGGUAGUAAGACAAUAAUGUAGUAUUUAUACUAGGAGAGUCAAAAAUUAAUUUAUUAAGUGAAUCUACUGGAAAGUAGAACCCUAGGCGGUAAUAGUCCUGUAACUGAAAAUAAAUUAACUCUCUUGUUAUUGCUCUUGAGUAACUCAAGACAUGAAUAGCUUGAGCGAAUCUGCCGGAACUAACCGGUAAGGCUAAAUAUACUUGAAGACCGAUAGUGAACUAGUACCGUGAGGGAAAGGUGAAAAGAAGCCCGGUAAGGGCAGUGAAAUAGACCUGAAACCAUAUGCUUACAAGGAGUCGGAGCCGUUUUUUUAAACGGUCACGGCGUGCCUAUUGAAGAAUGAGCCAACGAGUUAAUUUUAUAUCUGUGUCUAAGGGGCGAUCCCCCGAAGGCCUAGCGAAAGCGAGUCUGAAUAGGGCGUUUAGAUAUGGGAUUAAACCCGAAGCCAAGUGAUCUUGCCAUGAGCAGGGUGAAGGGAUUCGAAAGAAUUCUGGAGGCCCGAACCCGUAUGUCGUUCAAUUCAUUGGGAUGACUUGUGGUAAGUAGUGAAAAGCUAAUCGAACUUGGUAAUAGCUGGUUCUCUCCGAAAUAGCUUUAGGGUUAGCGUCAUGUGUUCCUCUGAGGGGUAGAGCACUGGAAGGUUUAGACAGGGAGAAAUCUCACUAAACCUAUCAAACUCCGAAUACUCAGAAUAAAAGCAUGGCAGUUAGACUCCGGGGGCUAAGCUCCGGUGGUCAAAAGGGAAACAGCCCAGAUCUCAAGUUAAGGUCCCAAAAUUUACAUUAAGUGCGCUUAAGGUUGUGAAGUUUCUCUGACAGUGAGGAGGUUGGCUUAGAAGCAGCCAUCCUUUAAAGAUAGCGUAACAGCUCACUCACUCAGAGACUAUGCGCCGAAGAUGAUCGGGGCUAAAUGUAAUACCGAAACUGAGGGUUUGUAAAUUUAUUUACAAGCGGUAGGAGAGUGUUCCUGUCUGCACCGAAGCCAAAGGGGUAACCCAUGGUGGAGCGUCAGGAAGUAAGAAUGUUGGCACAAGUAACCACAAUGCGAGUGAGAUUCUCGCACGCCGAAAGACUAAGGUUUCCUUCGCAAUGAAGAUCAGCGAAGGGUUAGUCGGGCCUAAGGGGAUGGUGAAAACCGAACCCGAUGGACACAUGGUUAAUAUUCCAUGACUUAUUUAAAAUGCGAUGGAGGGACGAGGGGUAUUAUGCAAAGCCCAUUAUUGGAUUUGGGUUGUUGCCAAAAGGUUGUUGUCCAGGUAAAUCCGGAUGACACAAGACCGAUUUGGAGAGAAAAUCCUGCGAUUCGUCAAGGGAAAUUUUGCAAAAAACGCCUCCGAGAAAAUCUUCUAAGCUUAAUUUUAAAUAAUCCGUACCAAAACCAACACAGGUAGUCAGGUCGAGUAGACCAAGGCGAACGAGUGAGAGGUCCUCAAGGAACUCGGCAAAAAAGCGAUCGUAAGUUAGCGAUAAGAUCUGCCUAUUAACAUAGGCCGCAGCUAAAGUAUUCCUGGCGACUGUUUAUCAAAAACACAGCUCCCUGCGAACUCGUAAGAGGAUGUAUAGGGGGUGACACCUGACCAAUGCCAGAAGGUCAAAUAUCGGUGGUGCUAAACAUUUUGCGUUUGAUUAUAUCGAGCUCAAAAUGUUUAGUGCUGACUGAUAUAAGCCCUGGUGAAUGUCGGCCGUAACUAUAACGGUCCUAAGGUAGCGAAAUUCCUUGUCUGGUAAGUUCAGACGCGCACGAAUGGUGUAACGACUGGGAAACUGUCUCGAGGACUUGCUCGGUGAAAAUACAGUAGCGGUGAAGAUGCCGCUUACCUACAGUUAGACGAAAAGACCCCAGGAGCUUUACUACAACUUGAUAUUGGCUGCAUGUUUCUUAUGCGUAGCAUAGGUGGGAGACUUUGAGACUUUCCUUUCGGGGGAAGUGGAGUCAUCAGUGAAAUACCACUCUUAAGAAGUAUGCAGUCUAACCCGUUUGGAAAAAACAAACAGGGACAGUAUCUGGCGGGUAGUUUGAGUGGGGCGCUCUCCUCCUAAAGAGUAACGGAGGAGCUUAAAGGUUAGCUAGGCGCGAAUGGAAACCGUGCCGAUAGUGUAAUGGCACAAGCUAGCUUGACUGCAAGACGUAUAUGUCAAGCAGGUGCGAAAGCAGAACAUAGUGAACCGAGAGUUUACAUUAGAUGUAGCUCGAGAUUAACAGAUAAAAGUUACCCUGGGGAUAACAGGCUGGUACUGCCUAAGAGUUCAUAUCGACGGCAGUGUUCGGCACCUCGAUGUCGGCUCAACUUAUCCUGGGGCUGGAGAAGGUCCCAAGGGUUUGGCUGUUCGCCAAUUAAAAAGUUACGCGAGCU